UUCAGUCUUUGAGCUAAUACUUUAUUAUGGUUCUCACGAUGUUUUGCAAGGUGAAUGGACAAAGUACUUAUAUAUAGUUACCAUUAGAAUAAAACAUAAUUCUACUUAUUUCACUUAAUAAUUGUUACAUAGUUAAAUAAUCCACACAUUAUUAUUUAAAAAUAACUGUGCUUUAUAACUGUCAUAACUUUAUAACUGUGUUAAAUAACUGUCAUAUUAAAAGUAACUCCACAAAAGUUUGUUUUAUAAAUGAAAGCAACUUCUAGCAGUUGCUUAUUCUUUGAACUAAGGAAAAGAUUUUGGUAAUUCUACAUUAUUAUAAGAUUCAUAACACACAUGAAUUUUGAAAAUCUUUUUUGACUGAUGAUAACU
RNAcentral lists this long non-coding RNA (372 nucleotides) under Bos taurus (domestic cattle). RNAcentral's name for it is "long non-coding RNA NONBTAT025159". The record is from RNAcentral. Lineage: Eukaryota; Metazoa; Chordata; Mammalia; Artiodactyla; Bovidae.